This 607-nucleotide long non-coding RNA is filed under the name Equus asinus (donkey). RNAcentral's name for it is "lncRNA (ENSEASG00005032800.1)". The record is from RNAcentral. Lineage: Eukaryota; Metazoa; Chordata; Mammalia; Perissodactyla; Equidae.
CAGCUGUGCAAGAGUUGCAAAGGAGAAGUACCCAGGGUGAUGAAAGAGGGGAAUUCACUGGGUGGAGGAGUCAGGACCAAGGAUGCCUCCGCAGGAAGUGAUACUUGAGCGGAGAUUUGAGGGAUGAAGAAGAGUUUGCUGGACUAAAACCAUGCCGCGAAGAGAAGCCCUGGCAGAAAGAACCGAAGUGUAAAGACCCUGAGGAGGGCCAGAGCUUAGUAUGUAGAAGGAAGCGGAAAAGGCCAGUGUGAGGAACUCCUGAGCAAGAAGGGUCGGAGACUGAGAGGAAGGAGAGGUCGGCGGGAGCAGAUCUCCAGGACCUGGGAAUCCUGAUGGAGGUAUUAUGCGGAUCACCUUGUUACAGAUGAGGAAGCUGAUGUUCUGAGAGGGCCAAAGAUCAUACAGCUAGUGAUGGGCAGAGCAAGACGCCAGCCUGUGCCUGUUUGAGUCCAAAGGUUAUCCUUUAACUGUUUCGUCUCACAGAUCCCUACAAGUCCCAGGCGCCCCCAGUACAUAGCUGCAUAUUCCAGUUGUGAGCACCUCUGGUUGUGCUAUGUGGGACGCCGCCUCAGCAUGGCUUGAUGAGCGGUACCAUGUCUGCGCCCAG